Paramisgurnus dabryanus is the source of this 2239-nucleotide non-coding RNA. NCBI's taxonomy places the organism in Eukaryota, Metazoa, Chordata, Actinopteri, Cypriniformes, Cobitidae. The record is from RefSeq and is a predicted model, not a curated record.
CUGACGUCAUCCGGCUGUCAGUCUUGCGGCGCCGCAUGAAGUCAAAUAAGCCUCCUGACUGCGUGCGAGAACAUUUUGAAUUAUCUGGCACGAGGCAUCACACGUCAAACUUCAACUGACACAACGGUCUCGGUGAAGGGAAUAAGCAAAAGCUCCUUUAAAUUUCGUCAUUUUUUAUACACAUCCCGUUUAUUUUGUAGUUAAUUGUUAGAUAAGUAAGUAAUUUCGUCAAGUUUUCGUUACAGAGUAAGAUUUCGUUAUCAUCGUUACCAUAUACAGUAUUUAUAUUGGUUCAAGAGCGCAGUUUGAUAACUCAUUCAAGGGGGUUCAGUUCCUGCAGUCUUCCAGCAAUACUGGCGCGAAUGACGAUGCGGACACGAACUGCACACUACAGUAUACCGCCGCCUACUGUACUGUAGUAAAAUAACGUGUAGGAUUGAAUACUGUGGCAAACGCAGUAAAAAAAGCCAUUUAAUUCAUUGUAAAAACAAUGGGCAUGCCAGUUUAAGUAACUUGUGGGCUAAAUCACCAAAAUAAGUUUGUAGAUGUGGUUCAAUUAUUUUUAAAAUGUGUAGCAUAAUGGACCAGCCUGAAUGUAUGUAGCCUAUAAAUAUAUUGUUUAGACUUUAUUUUUAAACCUUUAUUUGGUGGUAUAUGGUUAAACCUUUUUAAUGGUAGCAAUAGGCUUUAUACCCAGCUGCACUACUUCCUGAACUUCAGCCAGCUCCUUGUUUCCUGUCUGCCAUUAUUGGUCAAACUGAUUAAUCCAGGUGUGCCUGACCUCAGUAGUCACAACAACAAUAAUCAGACAGACCUGGAUUUAUCAGUUUGUCCAAUAAUGGCAGACAGGAAACAAUGGGCUGGCUGAAGUUCAGGAAGUAGUGCAGCUGGGCAUAAAGCCUAUUAAAUAAAAAUCUUAAAUUGAAUCAAAUCUCUUAUAAUAAUACAUAAAAGCUCUGGGAGGGUUGGGGGUACAUCUGGGUAACAUUUUAACAUUUAAUAUAUUUUGAUGUGUGUGUAUAUAUAUUAACUUUCUUUAUUUUGUUUUCUCAGCCUUAAACAUCUAAACAUGUCCUCCAAAAAGGUAAGUUCAGCAGAUCAGCUUAUCUUAUUCUGUAAUAUUGAUACUGGUUUGAGAAAAACUAAGAUUAAACAACGUACAUGUUUCCAGGAAAAAGGGAAAAACACUGGAAAACAAUUUCAGCCUAAGGUUUGAGAUGGCUAACUGUGUACAUUGCCUUUGUGUACUGCAAGCUGAACUUACAGAUUUAUAUGGACUUUACUUACAGGUUUCCUGUGCUGUUUUGCUCCAUUUUACAGAACAAAAUAAGGCUGAGGUAGCACCAUCCUUGUGGUUAGAGUGAAAGAAUGUGGGUAUUGAGACCAAAAUAAAUAAUGUGCCAUUCUGGACAAACAGCUGUGGACAAUACAAGCAGUCAGAGUAGCCCAUUUUCUCACACAGAUGAGGAGCAACCAGUAAGAAAAAGCAAAAAGAUGUUUUGAUGUUGCCUGAGGCACCUUAUUCACAUCAGUCAAUUUCUUCCAAUAAUGAAUCAAGAAAUCCUGGAGUGGAGAAUCAUUCUGAAAGUAGACCAAAUACAGGACAACACCACAGCAGUGGUUGGAAAAAUGCAGCAGACAAUGAGCAAACCAAGCUGACUUUCAAAAGAUGAUUCGUUAUCUGUUUCUUCAAAGGGGAGGCAGUUUGGGAGAUGGGAAAUAGGAGGAUGCUUCAGCUACACAGGGCGAAUUUCAGCAGCUCAGUUUCACACUUGCAACUAACAAUGAAUUAUAGUUAGAAGACAACGGAAAUAUUUGACAUGGGAGUCCAGCAGACAGCCAGAGACACGCACACACACGGAGCUGAAGCGCGUUUGACUGAAGCGUACGGGAGAUCAGGCACGCGCACGGGAGCUCGCUCGCGCACGCACACGCAAACACGGAGCACAGGAAAAUUACACCUGUUCAAUUAAAAUAAAAGAACUUUGUGGUAAACAAUGUUUAGCGUGUCUGAUUUCAUUGGUUGUAAUGAAAUAAAACGAUGUGCUGAGGACUUUAGGCGAACGUCCCCUAAAAGUCCCGAAAGUCCGCUGACCGUCCUGCAAACGUCCUUGUGAAAGUCCGGAGGACGUCUUCGCGGACGUCCGCUCGACGUAACAGGGGACCCUACACGAUAACGUCCAGGGGACGUUCGCAGAGGACAUUUAGGGGACGUCCAGGGGACCUUUUUUUGUUAGCU